GGAGGGGUACCGAAGUCUGGCCGUAACGGGGUCGACUCGAAAUCGACUUGGCGGUUAACAGCCGUCACGUGGGUUCGAAUCCCACCCCCUCCGCCA
RNAcentral lists this transfer RNA (96 nucleotides) under Deltaproteobacteria bacterium. Its description in RNAcentral is "tRNA-Ser". It matches the Rfam family "tRNA". From Rfam's summary of the family: Transfer RNA (tRNA) molecules are approximately 80 nucleotides in length. Their secondary structure includes four short double-helical elements and three loops (D, anti-codon, and T loops). Further hydrogen bonds mediate the characteristic L-shaped molecular structure. tRNAs have two regions of fundamental functional importance: the anti-codon, which is responsible for specific mRNA codon recognition, and the 3' end, to which the tRNAs corresponding amino acid is attached (by aminoacyl-tRNA synthetases). tRNAs cope with the degeneracy of the genetic code in two manners: having more than one tRNA (with a specific anti-codon) for a particular amino acid; and 'wobble' base-pairing, i.e. permitting non-standard base-pairing at the 3rd anti-codon position. Lineage: Bacteria; Pseudomonadati; Myxococcota; Myxococcia. RNAcentral also lists the same sequence under 2 other names. The record is from RNAcentral.